This 1166-nucleotide long non-coding RNA is filed under the name Sus scrofa (pig). RNAcentral's name for it is "lncRNA (ENSSSCG00030026531.1)". Lineage: Eukaryota; Metazoa; Chordata; Mammalia; Artiodactyla; Suidae. The record is from RNAcentral.
CAGCCCUAAAAAGNAAAAAAAAAAAAAAAAAAAAAGCCAGAAAGAAGAAGAAGAGAGGGAGAGAAAUAUCCUGGCCUUUCCUUUUCUCCUUAUCUUUCCGUCUUUCAGAAACCAGCUCAUAGUGAGCAUGAGCAAGACGGCUCACAGAGGUCAAGCCCCCUGCAGUCCAGAGCAGAGCAGUGGAAGGGCAAAGAAUGGAUUUGAGGGCAAAAUCAUAUAGCUCAUCCCUUUUGCUACUCAGCAUUCAAGUUCACCCUUCUGCCCAUGUUUAAUACCGUCAUACUUCUGCCUGUCAUGCAGUGACACUCUCCCCUUCUCCCCAAACAAGAUGAGGGACUUAAAGUCCCAUUAGUCAUUGUCUCCUUCUGGACUUCAAAAUCCACUGGUGAGCCUCCCUCCUCUCCCGAAGGCCCAGAAUGUGACGUUCUGUAGCCUGGUGACCUACUGAACUAAAUUUUAAAUGAAGUUCCACCAACACUCCAUACAAAACUGUAGAAGGAAGGGAAGGGAGAAGAGUAGAAAUCAUUGGGUAAUAAGUACAUAACAAAAAUAUGUAUUAGUACUUUGUAUAAUAUGUAUAUAGUCUUUGUUGUUGUAAAAAGGUUAUAGUUGAUAGUGAUCACUUCCCUCUUCUACCACUCAGUCUAUAUUUCCUUUGUUUUCAGCUAGCUCUGCAGGUGGUUGGGGUUCUUUACAUCACAGAGUGACUGUCAGGAUAUAUUCACAAGAACAGAAAACAUACUUGGCUUUCCAAGAGAGAAUUGAAUAGAAGGACUUGGUUAAGCAGUUUUGGAGAACUGAAAAAGCCAAAAAGGGGAUACCGAGCUAACCCAGAGGACCUGUCUAUUGUAAGUUCCUUCCCGUAUGACUGGAGCAAGCCAGAACGUUCUCUGUUGAACAGUCAAGAAAUAAAUUAAACAGGUACCACUUUAUUAUGACAGGAAAAUUUAUUGUCCAAGUGAUAAUAGCUAAUGAUUAUCAAGUACUUAAUAUGUGCUAGUCAUGGUGAUUAAGUGCUUUCCAUUACUCAUUUAAUCCUUGAAUUGUCCUAUAACGUAAGUACUAUUAUUAUCCAUGUUUUCAAAUGAGGAAAUUUAGGCACAGAUUGGUUGAGUGAUUUGCUUAGUAUCACACAGCUAAUAAAUGGCAGUCAGGGCUCUAUAUCA